Chroicocephalus ridibundus (black-headed gull) is the source of this 6827-nucleotide long non-coding RNA. RefSeq lists it as uncharacterized. NCBI's taxonomy places the organism in Eukaryota, Metazoa, Chordata, Aves, Charadriiformes, Laridae. The record is from RefSeq and is a predicted model, not a curated record. The transcript has 5 exons.
GAAAAAUUAAACUUCUGAGGGACAUACCAAAUAAAAGAACCCGGUGGUGGGCGCGGGAAUUCGGUGGGGCUGGGGCUCACCGGGGGAAAGCUCAUGGCCGCGUUUCCCCUCAGGGCAGCCCAGAGCCGCGUUAAGCUCCGGCGUGCCCCUGCUUGGCGGUUUGGGGCUAUCGUCACUCUUCAUAGAGGUUGAAGGUAUACAGGCUGAGCUGAGUAGGAGGAAUGUGCCUCAGAGGUAAACAUGAGGAAUAUGCACUUGAAAAGAAGGUGACUGUACCUGAAGGCAACGCUCAGAAGAGGAAGGUGUAUGCAUGCUAAUGAAUGAACAGUCUCUGCUUGGAAAAAUAACAUAACAAAUCCUUUACAGAGUCGAAAAUGUCGUAGGAUGGCUAGGAGACAGAUUUAACUACUUAAGGUAACACUUUAAUUGGAAUCCUCUGCCUAAGGUCCAAGGAGUGAUCUUCAAAGCUGCAACAUGCACUGCUGCCUCCAGGUAUGGUGGUGUGGCAGCAGGGCUGCGCUGGGCUGCCUCAUAUGCUUGCUGACACCCAAAGGAGAAGGCUUUAUUCACCCUUCCUCCUUCCCUGCUCCACCCUCCCACUCCUAGCAAUAUGCUCUGGCCAUAAGGUGAGCAGUAAAUUCCCUCUGCUGACAAAAGAACGCUUACUUUUUUGCCAGAGGUCAUUUUUCUGUAAUUUUGCUGAGCUGAGUCAGCUUGCUUUGCAUCAGAUGGGUGCUGGCUCAGGGCAAGCAGUGGUAGCGUGUGGCCAGAAGCAGCUGGGAAGGGAACGAGAUGACAAGAAGGAGCAGGGAGCUUUUACUUUUGAUGAUGAGAUGUUGACUUGGCUUGUGGUAUAUUCAAUAUAGAAAUCUCUAUAGAGUCUAGGAGUGCUUGAGGAUAUACCUCUGUGGACAGUAACGGGCUUCUCUGCCCAUAUGCUGGUUCAGCCAGAAUCAAGCCAGCUCUGUUCCAGAACUGUGUUAGCUAAUACACACUGCCCCUUAGGGAAACUUUCCUAUUUUCCUCUUUCUGUUUAAAUAAUUUAAUGUUGCACAAUGCUGAAUGGCAGUAUUGCUUUUUGAAGUCUAGUUUUAUGUUUAAAGUAACUAUGCCAAAUGAAAGGCAGGAUCAAGCUAAUGGGCAGUUGGCAGUUUUCUGUGAUUUGAUCAUAAUUAAAACCAAUAUAUCAAUCACAAAUACAGGGCCAGAGUAAUGCUCCAAUUCACGCUUGGCAUUAUUUACUUGUAACUGAAUUAUUUAUUUAAUUAGUAACUUUGUUCCUUAGUGUGCUAUUAUUAUUACUCACGUUAACAGAAAAAUGUCAGCCAGUGUUUGAGUGUGGGUAUUUUGUAUGUUUUAUAUGUACAAGACUGGCCAGGAAGAAGACUUAAGAGUACCACAGAUGUUACAUACCAGGAUGGCACCCCUAAGGGUCCUUGUGAGUGCGGCAGGAGAUGUUACUGAAUGGGGUGAUUCUUCUUAGGGCCAGCAGUUGCUGCCUGUGCUUUUGGCAUCCUUUUUAUUGCAGGUAAAACAACCCUGGCUCUACAAGGUUUUUCCCAUUUCUCUCUAUCCCCAUAUGCCCUCUUCUCCCACAGUAGGCAUUGUUUCUGCCUUUCCGUGACACGUGGUGCCUGGUUUUGGUCAUGUCUUGGCUCUUCCCUCAUGUUUAAGUGCCAGAAUAUUAUUGUUUUUUUCUUGCAUUAAGAGGCUUUCAGCUAAAUCUGUAAACUGUUGGUUUUGCAGCAAAAUUCUUGGGAUGCUUCAGGGCAAUUUUUGAUGGGCUGAAAAGAAUCAUGGAAGAAUAGUCAGAUGCACAUGCUGGAUCAGCAGCUUCAGCUGUUGUUGAUUGAAGAAAGUGGUUAAAGACAUGGCAUGCGGUUAACGCUGCAAUUCUGAGAUUACAGCUUGGUUGUUGAAAGUGGACAAAAAGGAUUGUAUUUCAGUUCAUAAUAGUACUUUAUUUUGGAACUAUCACAGUAUCAUAAAUAGUUCACUAACAUACACAAACAUCUUAGUGGUUAGCUUUCAGUGGCUAGCCAUUUGUCAACAAAAGCUCUAGAAAUGCUUAACAGUUAGCCUUGUGCUGAGAGAAUUAAUCUUCACAAUUGUUUGAAAAUAAUGUUUCAGAGACUUGAGGACGUUCUUUUUUGAAAACUAAUGUUUCAAAGAUAAAACAUUCAAAUAAUUUGAAUGUGUCUGAUCAGACGAAGUUUGAAGAAGUUCAGGCCAAAGCCGAGCUGUGUGUGACUUACUAACAAAUUCUAAAAAGAGUGCAAAAUAAAAUUUGUGUAUUGUCUUUCUCUUUUGAAUGCUGAUGGACAGUAGGUGUCUGCUUACACAUCAUGCAUGCAGCACCUUAGUGCAGGCUUUCUAUGUGUGCUGUCAGGCUGUGGUAUCUUUCAUGAGCAGCAAUGGGUAAGUACAUCAGAUAUUAUGCGGUAAUAACAUGAGUCUUGGUCAGGCCUACUAUUAAUCACCGACUGGUUUGCAUCGUGUCCUUUGUUUGUAAUUGUGACUCUCACCAAAGAAGAAAAUUGCAGUUGCUUAACAGAUUAGAUUUUGCAUUUAAUUUGGCACAUGGCCUCUUUAAACAUAAAGCUAGACAUUAAGAAAUGUGUAAAUAGGGAAGAAAGUGCUGCCUUUCAAAGAACGCACACUUGAUCUUGAAGCCUCACAGCAAAUGCUCUUUCUUUGCAUUUAUUUACAUAUACUACUCUGUGCAUUUAUUUGAUAUUAAGCUUAAGUAUAUGUACACACAAAUGAAGCAAAAUCUUCACAAUUCAUUCUAUUGAACUAAAGUUGCUCUGCUAAGCCACGGUACUUCUCCUGACAUGACAAGAGAUGACUGAGCUGGUAAAAGGCUGGCUGCAGAAAUGAGAUGGAAGGCCUUGUUUCCUUCACUUUCCCAGUCCUCCUUUUGGUCAUGUGGUCCCACACCUUCCAAGGUGCCACCGCCGGCACUCGUGUUGAUUCAGUUCACCCACUCAUGAGAAAGCUGUCUACGUUUUUGCUGGAUGAUUUAUGAAGGGUUUUAGUAAGCACCAGAACAGGUAUAAGGUAAGUGUGAGAAAUGUGCAAUGACAUGUAGGAAAAAGAAAACUUGAAUAAAACCUUUGCUCUUGACCAAACUAACAGUUUUAACAGGAAGUAUUUUAUUUUAACCCUUACUAGAUAUUUUAGUUUGUAUCAUAUCUAUGCUGGGUAUUUAACAUUAAAUACUGGAUGUUUAAAUAUUCAGUACUUAGUAGUUGCUGAUCUUCAGAGAAGUCAAACUGAAGCUGCUUGAGCACCUUGAGUGAUCACAGGUGUUUCCUAUUUCCUAAAUGAAGUCAGCACUGCAUGAGAAAUUUAAAACCUGUUAUAAGGCCUUUUCAAAACCUGUGUUUGUGUACUGAUUUCUAGACGGAAAUAUUUUUCCUGAUCCUUUGAAAUCUGGCUGCUACCUUUAAAAUGUGGGCUUCGAGAGGCUCCCAGAAUGUAAGCAGCAAGAUGCCUGCAUCUGGUGACCCGUUUUGUUUCAGUGUUUCUGUAGUCUAGGUGCUGUGCAGAGAGCCCCAAGGACUCUGAAAGCAGGAGGGAAAGGAGCAGCUAAAGGCCUUGGUGUCACUAUGAGGAAACACGGGAAGCUGUGCAAGAAGAGUGGUUUUCAGGCAGUGGGAGAGGACUAAGUACUUGGGAACCAUGUCCAGGAAAGAAAAUAAAAAAAAAAAAAAAAGCAGAAAACAGGAAUUAAUGGAAAGACGGCAUUUACAGCAUAGGAGGAACAAGCUUGAAGUGUUCAAAAGAUGGCUUUUAAACCUGAGGUUUCCUUCCUGUUCUCUACAACACACAGAACAGGUGAGGAUAGCAGCAAUAAAACUUUUGUUGGUAGAUGAGACUGUGGAUAGAAAAUUUUGUUGGUUUUGUUGUGGUUUUUUUUUAAGCUUUAAAUGAACCUGUCCUAUUGAUCAAAGUAAUAAAAAAAUGUUGCUAAUAACCUGCAGGUAAUUAAUGCAGCUUAUUCACAGCUGGUAAUCUGAGGAAAGACAAGGCAUUUUCCUAUGCUCUCCAAAUUUCAAAUAUAUUUUUAAGGGCAGAUCAGCCUCAAAUAUUCUAGUUAGUGUAAGUAGGCAUCAUUAAAACAAUAGAAUACUCUAAAUUAGGAUUGGCAACAGCAUUGUGGUAAAUAAUUUGGCAAAGCGUUAUAGUCUUUGUUACCUGAAGUGAUCAGUUAUUUCAUUUUUGGUGCCAAUCCCAGUUCAGUUGAAGCCAAUAAAAAGCUCCCAUAGGCUUUGACAGGACCAGAAUCAAAUGCUUCAUAACUCACACUUUCAUGAGCUGUGGUGAGGAAGUGUACUUCCGUGUGACACUUUGUUUUUUCUCUUCUAACCAGAAGAGGAAAAAACCCCAAUAAAAAAAACCCCAAAACCUAGAAAUACAUAAUGCUUAUAAUAGUAUUCAUCGGAUGAUUUGAUGAAUCAAAUAGUUGCUUUCUUAUUUCACUGUAGCAAGAAACGGGUUAAGUUAUUUAUUUUUCAGUUUACAGAGCAGGAGACCACCUUUCUGACCCUUGGUUAUUUGCUCUAACUAAUAAACUGUCCUGAGUUAUAAAAAGUUGAACGCUGUAAGCUUCUCUGAUGCUGAAAGGGCAACACAAAAAGUUUUUUGCAAAAUGGUUAAAGGCGAUGGCUAGCAGCAUUUAGUGUGACAUGUUUAAACCUGUCCUGAGAGAAACAGACUUUAAGUACUAUGCAGUUUUUUACAGUGUUUUGUUUAGACACUUCUGUUUUCAACUAUCACAGUAGAUCUCUGUUAAUUCACUUAAAAUCCACUGCCUUUCCUACAGGCCUUUGAAAGAAAGUCUGGAAGUCAAAACGCUGAUGAUUUAGAUUAAACUUGUUGCUGCUUUGCUCCUCAAAAACUACCUCCUCCUACCACCUAAGGACACUUAUAUUUGCUGUCUUCUAUAUUCUAAUAGCAACCGCAUUUUCAAAAGAGACUGCUUGUAAAAUUUGGACAUGCGGCAAACACUUCUGAAUUCACAAGUCACCUUAGUCGACGUCUUGUUGACGUUUCCUCUGCUAACCCUGAUGAAUCUAAAAAGAAAUUCUAAAUGAAGUUCCAAAAAGAGACAAGAUACAAUGUAAGAGUGUCUUGGGCCAGGAGUCAACGCAGGAAAGAAGAAAAACUCACUCAACCCAAACAACUGCCAUUCAAGGGAAUUUUCUCCCUUUACAAGGAGAGAACAGUAACCUCCAAGAACUUCAGAAUGCUUUUACAAGUAGAGCAAAAGUGAAUUGAAGCUGUCCAAACAAGGGCAUUUCCCCAUCUCUCCCAAAGAAAGAAGCUGCAAAGAGGUUUGUGACUUGUCAAAAGCCAAGUCUGAUGCUGCAACUUUAGGAAUUAAAGAACACAGUCCAGCGUCCACUGAUACUAGCUGGGUUGCGUGUAUUUUUCAAAGGGCAAGACCUCCUUGUGUAGCAUUUUCAAUGUACCCUCUUUAUAUUCCAAGAUUUGGAGCAUUUUCUUCUUUGCAAAAGCAUUUACAGAUUAGAAGUCUCAUAGCAAUCCUCUGCACUGUAGGUUCUAGUAUGUUAAAAAACAUAAAAUUAAGUGAAAUGUUACACAUAAAUAUUCAACAUUUACAAUAUAAAGUGCAUUUUGGGCACCAAAUUAAAAUACCAUUGGCUGCUGUCAGCAUUGGUCAAAUGGGAGUGCGUGUGUGUAAAUCUGUUGCUUAAAAAACUUUAUUGCAUCUGUCCAACUAUAUAGGUACCGUGAUACAAGAAAACACCAGCCCGACGUGUUACCUGUGAGACGCUGCAAUAUGGCUUCCUGCGCCUCUGGGAAGCCUUUUCCACUACGGUGCCAAAUAUUUAACUAGGAGGUAAAAGGACAGCAAUGUUGGCCUGUGACUUGCUCAGCAAGAUCUGCAGGCCACAUAAUGCUGGCUGUUGAUACUUUAACAAGAUGUAAAAUUAAGGGUGGCUACAAUUGGAGAUACAGAACUUGUUGAUACAGUUAACCAAGAACUCUCUGAAAUUCUUGACUAUUGCUCUGUAGAUACUGGUUAUUUAUCUAAUAUGAUGUUUCAUUCUGCUCAAAGUUACCAUUUUGUCCUCCCAGCAGGGCAAUACACACUUAGGCAAAGUGUUUCUGUGGGGUAGUUUGGCCUUUGAUUUGACAAGAGAAGUGUCUUUUUCAGCAUUUACAUUUUUAAGUUGCAAGAGAAACAGUAUCAGUGAAACCUGCGUAGUUUUUAACAAGGGACAAACCUCUAGCCAUUUGCUUAGCGUUCCCAACCCAUGGUAUUCUACUUCUUCAGCACUAACUGCCAGGUCAAAGUGAGUAUCAAAAUAAUUUGAUAGAACUAUAGUUUGUCCAAAUGGAUAAUGUGGCACACAAUUAAUUAAUGGUUUCUUUUCAUCCAAAAUUAUAAUCAAAAAAAUACAAUAAAUUGAGUAGUGUGUUAACCAGCAAUGUCUAAAACAAACCAGUGUAAUCCAGAAGCAGUAAUUCAUAUACAUUUGAAAGAUGAAAUCAUGAAAUAAUUUUCAUACUCAAAUCUAUUACUAGAAUGAAUAGAAAAUUCACAUAGCAAUGAAGCGAAUAUCUCAACAAAGUAGAAUUCUUACGUAAUAGUCAAAAGAUCGUUAGUUUCAAUAAAACCAAUUAAAACACUGUUCCUUCUAAGGAAAAAAGAGCCCAUGAAACUAUUAAUGAAACAUCAAUAGUAGGAUGGGAUGGCUCAAAGUGCUUAUGGAAGAGGGUGGCAGUACAAGAUGUAGUCUUCAUGCAGUCCCUCCUCAGCGAAAUAACCUUGUGCAAAGAAUAGUCCUGCAGCC